CGAGUAACCUGCCCUUAACUCUGGGAUAAGCCUGGGAAACUGGGUCUAAUACCGGAUAUGACUCCUCAUCGCAUGGGUGGGGGGUGGAAAGCUUUAUUGUGGUUUUGGAUGGACUCGCGGCCUAUCAGCUUGUUGGUGAGGUAAUGGCUCACCAAGGCGACGACGGGUAGCCGGCCUGAGAGGGCGGCCGGCCACACUGGGACUGAGAUACCGGCCCAGACUCCGUACGGGGAGGCAG
Molecule: ribosomal RNA, 238 nt
Filed under: uncultured bacterium
Lineage: Bacteria
Description: partial 16S ribosomal RNA
Rfam family: Bacterial small subunit ribosomal RNA
Source: RNAcentral